AGUGAACGCUGGCGGUAGGCCUAACACAUGCAAGUCGAACGGCAGCACAGUAAGUGCUUGCUCUUUUGGGUGGCGAGUGGCGGCCGGGUGAGGAGUACAUCGGAAUUUACCUUUUCGCGGGGGAUAAAGAAGGGUAACUUACGCUAAUACCGCAUACGACCUACGGGUGAAUGCUGGGGAUCUUCGGACCUUGCGUGCUUGAGUGUGCCGAUGUCGGCUCAGCUAGUUGGCGGGGUAAAGGCCCACUAAGGCGACGAUCCGUAGGGGGUUUGCGAGGAUGAGCGGCGACACUGAAACUGGGACACGGUCCCGACCCCGACGGGGGGCGGCGGUAGGGAUUAUGGGACAAUGGGAGCAAGCCGAAUCCAGCCGUACCGAGGGGGUGAAGGAGGCCUUCGGGUUGUAAAGCCAUUUUGUUGGGAAAGAAGAGCAACAGGUUAAUACCCCGCGGUUCUGACGGUACCCGAAGAAUAAGCACCGGCUAACUACGUC
This 492-nucleotide ribosomal RNA is filed under the name uncultured bacterium. RNAcentral describes it as "partial 16S ribosomal RNA". It matches the Rfam family "Bacterial small subunit ribosomal RNA", at positions 29 to 507 of the family's 1533-position model. The record is from RNAcentral.